Molecule: ribosomal RNA, 492 nt
Filed under: uncultured bacterium
Lineage: Bacteria
Description: partial 16S ribosomal RNA
Rfam family: Bacterial small subunit ribosomal RNA
Source: RNAcentral
AGUGAACGCUGGCGGUAGGCCUAACACAUGCAAGUCGAACGGCAGCACAGUAAGAGCUUGCUCUUACGGGUGGCGAGUGGCGGACGGGUGAGGAAUACAUCGGAAUCUACUUUUUCGUGGGGGUUAACGUAGGGAAACUUACGCUAAUAUCGCAUACGACCUACGGGUGAAAGCAGGGGAUCUUCGGACCUUGCGCGAUUGAAUGCGCCGAUGUCGGAUUAGCUAGUUGGCGGGGUAAAGGCCCACCAAGGCGACGAUCCGUAGCUGGUCUGGGAGGAUGAUCACCCACACUGGAACUGAGACACGGUCCAGACUCCUACGGGAGGCAGCAGUGGGGAAUAUUGGACAAUGGGCGCAAGCCUGAUCCAGCCAUACCGCGUGGGUGAAGAAGGCCUUCGGGUUGUAACGCCCUUUUGUUGGGAAAGAAAAGCAGCAGGUUAAUACCCCGCUGUUCUGACGGUACCCAAAGAAUAAGCACCGGCUAACUUCGUG